UGCUACUCACGAUUAGUUUUGCAGGUUUGCAUUUCAGCGUAUAUGUGUAUAUAGGGCUGUGCAAAUCCAUGCAAAACUGAUUGUGAUAA
This is a microRNA precursor of Propithecus coquereli (Coquerel's sifaka), 89 nucleotides long. The record is from Ensembl. NCBI's taxonomy places the organism in Eukaryota, Metazoa, Chordata, Mammalia, Primates, Indriidae.